Molecule: ribosomal RNA, 301 nt
Filed under: uncultured bacterium
Lineage: Bacteria
Description: partial 16S ribosomal RNA
Rfam family: Bacterial small subunit ribosomal RNA
Source: RNAcentral
CAGCCGCCGCGGUAAUACGUAGGGGGCAAGCGUUGUCCGGAAUUGUUGGGCGUAAAGCGCGCGCAGGCGGUUUUUUAAGUCUGGUGUCUAAGUGCGGGGCUCAACCCCGUGACGCACUGGAAACUGGGAGACUUGAGUGCAGAAGAGGAGAGCGGAAUUCCACGUGUAGCGGUGAAAUGCGUAGAGAUGUGGAGGAACACCAGUGGCGAAGGCGGCUCUCUGGACGGUAACUGACGCUGAGGCGCGAAAGCGUGGGGAGCAAACAGGAUUAGAUACCCCCGUAGUCCCUGUCUCUUAUACA